RNAcentral lists this transfer RNA (75 nucleotides) under Zingiber officinale. RNAcentral's name for it is "tRNA-Tyr". Lineage: Eukaryota; Viridiplantae; Streptophyta; Magnoliopsida; Zingiberales; Zingiberaceae. The record is from RNAcentral.
ACCCUGCUGGGUUCAAUUGGUUACCAUGGUUCACCAUAACCAAAUAGGUCUCGGGUUCAAUUCCCGCGUAGGCUA